Molecule: long non-coding RNA, 382 nt
Organism: Mobula hypostoma (lesser devil ray)
Lineage: Eukaryota; Metazoa; Chordata; Chondrichthyes; Myliobatiformes; Myliobatidae
Exons: 3
Source: RefSeq, a predicted model, not a curated record
UGUGUUAAAGAGGAAGAGGGCAGAGGUUACAAGUGUUGUACAUUAGGUUCCAUAUUUGGGCAUGGAUGAUUUUUGUGUCUGUAUGGAUUAUGGCACAAUCCAGAAAGAUCCAUCGCCUGCAUGCUCUGUGAAUGCCUCUGGUUGUUUCCCACCUGAAGUGAAGGGCUGGCAGACAGUAUGUAAAGUAUCCAGGACAUCUUCGAGGAGCAGCGCCUCAAAAAGGCAACGUCCAUCAUUAAGGACCCCAUCACCCAGAACAUGUCUUCUUAUUGUUACCAUCAGGAAAGAGGUACAGACGCCUGAGGCACACACUCAAUGUUUCAGGAAAAGCUUCUUCCCCUCUGCCAUCCAAUAUCUGAAUGGACGUUAAACCAAUGAACAU